UCCGGUUUGGCACCGGCAGUCUCUCUAGAGUUCUCGGCAUUACCCGUUAGUAACUAGAGACGAGGGUUGCGCUCGUUGCGGGACUUAACCCAACAUCUCACGACACGAGCUGACGACAGCCAUGCAGCACCUGUGUACGGACUCCGAAGAGGGGUCUGCGUUUCGGCAAACUUUCCCGUACAUGUCAAGCCUAGGUAAGGUUCUGCGCGUUGCGUCGAAUUAAACCACAUGCUCCACCGCUUGUGCGGGCCCCCGUCAAUUCCUUUGAGUUUCAGCCUUGCGGCCGUACUCCCCAGGCGGGGCACUUCAUGCGUUUGCGCCGGCCCCCACGGGGUCGCUCCCCCAGAGACCUAGUGCCCAUCGUUUACGGCGUGGACUAC
This 380-nucleotide unclassified non-coding RNA is filed under the name uncultured Gemmatimonadaceae bacterium. Its description in RNAcentral is "contains 16S-23S intergenic spacer region". Lineage: Bacteria; Pseudomonadati; Gemmatimonadota; Gemmatimonadia; Gemmatimonadales; Gemmatimonadaceae. The record is from RNAcentral.